RNAcentral lists this ribosomal RNA (468 nucleotides) under uncultured bacterium. RNAcentral describes it as "partial 16S ribosomal RNA". It matches the Rfam family "Bacterial small subunit ribosomal RNA", at positions 28 to 507 of the family's 1533-position model. The record is from RNAcentral.
GACGAACGCUGGCGGCGUGCUUAACACAUGCAAGUCGAACGGAAAGGCCCCGCUUUUGUGGGGUGCUCGAGUGGCGAACGGGUGAGUAACACGUGAGUAACUUGCCUUCGACCUUGUGCUAACUUCAGGCAACUGGGGCUAACACCGGCUAGGAGCUCCUGCUCUAUGGUGGGGGUUGGAUAGUUUCGGCGGUUGGGGCUGGACUCGUGGCUUAUCAGUGUGUCGGUUGGGUGGUGGCUUACGAAGGCUUUGACGGGUUGCCGGCCUGAGAGGGUGACCGGCCACGUUGGGACUGAGAUGCGGCCCAGACGCGUACGGGAGGCAGCAGUGGGGAAUAGUGCGCAGUAGGCGGGAGCCGGAUGCAGCAACGCCGCGUGCGGGAUGACGGCCUUCGGGUUGUGAACCGCUUUCGCCUGUGACGAAGCGUGAGUGACGGUAAUGGGUAAAGAAGCACCGGCUAACUACGUG